Molecule: transfer RNA, 77 nt
Filed under: Candidatus Peregrinibacteria bacterium
Lineage: Bacteria; Candidatus Peregrinibacteriota
Description: tRNA-Val
Rfam family: tRNA
About the family: Transfer RNA (tRNA) molecules are approximately 80 nucleotides in length. Their secondary structure includes four short double-helical elements and three loops (D, anti-codon, and T loops).
Source: RNAcentral
GGGCGGUUAGCUCAGUUGGCUAGAGCGCGUGCUUGACUCGCACGAGGUCACCAGUUCGAAUCCGGUACCGCCCACCA